GGGCUGUUAGCUCAGUUGGCAGAGCAGCUGACUCUUAAUCAGCGGGUCGCCGGUUCGAGCCCGGCACAGCCCA
RNAcentral lists this transfer RNA (73 nucleotides) under Candidatus Lindowbacteria bacterium RIFCSPLOWO2_02_FULL_62_12. RNAcentral describes it as "tRNA-Lys". It matches the Rfam family "tRNA". From Rfam's summary of the family: Transfer RNA (tRNA) molecules are approximately 80 nucleotides in length. The record is from RNAcentral. RNAcentral also lists the same sequence under 1 other name. Lineage: Bacteria; Candidatus Lindowiibacteriota.